CGAAAGUAAAAUUUCGUGGAGGUCCGAACCCACGAGCGUUGAAAAGCUCGGGGAUGACUUGUGGGUAGCGGUGAAAUUCCAAUCGAGCCCGGAGAUAGCUGGUUCUCCCCGAAAUAGCUUUAGGGCUAGCCUCAAGGUGAGAGAUACGGAGGUAGAGCACUGAAUGUCCUAGGGGGUAUUGCACCUACCGAAGACUAUCAAACUCCGAAUGCCGUCAUCUUAUACUUGGGAGUCAGACUGUGGGUGAUAAGAUUCAUAGUCGAAAGGGCAACAGCCCAGAUCGUCAGCUAAGGUCCCUAAAUGUAAGUUAAGUGGUAAAGGAUGUGGGAUUGCACAGACAACCAGGAUGUUGGCUUAGAAGCAGCCACUCAUUCAAAGAGUGCGUAAUAGCUCACUGGUCGAGUGAUCCUGCGCCGAAGAUUUCCGGGGCUAAAACUUACUACCGAAGCUACGGCAUCAGUAAUGAUGGGUAGGGGAGCUUCCCAUACGGGUUGAAGCAUGACCGUAAGGACAUGUGGACAGUAUGGGAGUGAGAAUGUUGGCAUGAGUAGCGAGAUGUGGGUGAGAAUCCCACAGGCCGUAAACCCAAGGUUUCCAGGGGAAGGUUCGUCCGCCCUGGGUUAGUCGGGACCUAAGCUGAGGCCGAAAGGCGUAGGUGAUGGACAACAGGUUGAUAUUCCUGUACUACCGAUAACCGU
Molecule: ribosomal RNA, 698 nt
Filed under: Clostridioides difficile
Lineage: Bacteria; Bacillati; Bacillota; Clostridia; Peptostreptococcales; Peptostreptococcaceae
Description: partial 23S ribosomal RNA
Rfam family: Bacterial large subunit ribosomal RNA
Source: RNAcentral